GAUGAACGCUGGCGGCGUGCUUAACACAUGCAAGUCGAACGGAGAACCCUUGACGGAGGCUUCGGCCAACUGAUAGGAAUUCUUAGUGGCGGACGGGUGAGUAACGCGUGAGGAACCUGCCUUGGAGUGGGGAAUAACAGCCAGAAAUGGCUGCUAAUACCGCAUGAAGCAGUUGGGUCGCAUGGCUCUGACUGCCAAAGAUUUAUCGCUCUGAGAUGGCCUCGCGUCUGAUUAGAUAGUUGGCGGGGUAACGGCCCACCAAGUCGACGAUCAGUAGCCGGACUGAGAGGUUGGCCGGCCACAUUGGGACUGAGACACGGCCCAGACUCCUACGGGAGGCAGCAGUGGGGAAUAUUGGGCAAUGGGCGCAAGCCUGACCCAGCAACGCCGCGUGAAGGAAGAAGGCCCUCGGGUUGUAAACUUCUUUUAUCAGGGACGAAACAAAUGACGGUACCUGAUGAAUAAGCCACGGCUAACUACGUGCCAGCAGCCGCGGUAAUACGUAGGUGGCAAGCGUUAUC
Molecule: ribosomal RNA, 521 nt
Filed under: uncultured bacterium
Lineage: Bacteria
Description: bacterial SSU rRNA
Rfam family: Bacterial small subunit ribosomal RNA
Source: RNAcentral